Molecule: ribosomal RNA, 163 nt
Filed under: uncultured bacterium
Lineage: Bacteria
Description: partial 16S ribosomal RNA
Rfam family: Bacterial small subunit ribosomal RNA
Source: RNAcentral
UAGGGAAUCUUCCACAAUGGACGAAAGUCCGAUGGAGCAACGCCGCGUGAGUGAAGAAGGGUUUCGGCUCGUAAAACUCUGUUGUUAAAGAAGAACAUAUCUGAGAGUAACUGUUCAGGUAUUGACGGUAUUUAACCAGAAAGCCACGGCUAACUACGUGCCA